RNAcentral lists this long non-coding RNA (2440 nucleotides) under Mus musculus (house mouse). RNAcentral describes it as "long non-coding RNA chr19:58387922-58390362". The record is from RNAcentral. Lineage: Eukaryota; Metazoa; Chordata; Mammalia; Rodentia; Muridae.
UAUGCUGUCACGACCUGGAAUCUGGUGGUUGGGUCCAGGAGUCUCAGGAAAACUCCAAAUCUGCCCGUGCUUAAGACCUUAUUUAAGAUGAACAUACUUGCAUACAGCAUCCUCCCAGAGGACUUGGAACACUAAGGAAUGCAGGCGCUUGGUAAGCAGCCACUACGAUGCAUAUAGGGGACAUGACAAGAAAAAUAAGCUGCCACAUGCUUAGUAGCAGUAUGCCUGGACACGAUUUUCCACCUGUGGUUAUCUGAGGACAGACACCUAGAGCCAAAUGUAAUCUUAAUUAUGUAUCAGAGGAAAAGCACUUAUGGGCCUCAUGACAAUACACACCCUCACAUGCAUGUUUAAGCCUGUGUCCUGGAGAGUGGUGGCUUCGUAACUUGGACAGACUGCUGCUUCCCCAGCCUAGGAAAGCAGAGACUCACCAGAGGGCGAGAGCAGGGCCUGAGCCAACUGGGCAGCCAGCUCUAGCUCCAUUUCCAUACACUGUAUACUGCUCCCCCCGCACCUACUGCUCACAGCUGAAGGGGCUACUGAAAAGCUCCUCCGGCUUCCUUCCUCUGAGCCGCAGACCCCAAUUAACCCCAUUCUCCCUGCUCAUUCUAUACAGUUCUCUCCACCCACCAGCCCUAGCCAUACCUGCUUCCCCUGGAGCCUAGAACACUGGAAAUCUGCUUGAAGGGUUUUUCAUCCUCUAGACUCACCAGUCCAUUAUUCUUAUCCUUCCCUGACCACAUCACAGGAAGCAUUCCUCUUAGGCACCGGAACAACUCUGAAACGAUUCCGUUACUCAAGACCGUUACUCAAGACGUUCUUUUAUUUCCUUGCUUCCUUGGCUACCAACUUCCCUGUGCGCCCAACUGUGGGAUCCAUGAAAAAGAACCAUUGCUGUCUCGUUCACUCCCCGAUCAUCAAGCCCAACAAAGUACCAGACACUUGUUUCCAGCUUCAGAAGACACAGAUGGCAGAGGACACAUCUCUCCCUAAGCAACAGCCCAGCUCUGGGCAGAAACCGGAGCGAGGGAAGCUUCGCCUCUUUGGUCUGAGGUCAUACAAAGACUUCAGUACAAAGAGAAUUAACUCAACGGCUUCGUCUAGCUCCUGUGCCCGCGUAUAUUUACAAAUGCCCCACUGAGCGACAGUGUUCUGAUCUUGAAGCUGCUCACCGAGUUUCUGUUCGAUUUCAGAAUCAGGGUUGCGUCUACGGAUGAGUGCAUUUUAAAAGACACUUCAGUGGCUUCAAAUGAGGCAUGCAGGCCUGCGUGGGGGUGUGCCUGCGAGUGUGUGUAGGCCUGCUCGCCAUCAUCAAAUGAUGCUGUGAAAGAACUCUAGGUGUGUCUACACAUGCUGUCUCAGUACAUGCUUAAAGAGUCACUAAGUGAAAACCAGUGGGUCGGGGACUCUGUGAAUGACAAGCUUGCUGGCCUUGGCUCUUUAUUGGGAAAAGAUACAGCUGUGGGUUCACUGGUCCUUGACCAUUUCAGUCGAGGCCUAAGCAAGUAGCGUUUCUAAAAGAAAGCACCAAAACAAGCAACGAAAUGCCACCAGAUCAAGAGGGAAACCUACCCCCCAUAAACACGCACCGCACCGUGCACACAGCCCUGAAAAGCCAAGCAGUAGCCGCCAUGCCGUCACCUACUGUAACAAGACUAUCUGUAAUGAAAUAGAGAUCAUGCAAUCCAGAGGAAAUAAUGUGUGUUUCCUCCAAGAAGGUCUGGGGUUGUCAACCGCAGGCUUGCUUCCCACUUCUGCCUGCCAGAGCACACACAGCACACACACACAGCCAUACAGCAGGCAGACAGGCUAUCCGUCCUCUUUCUGACAAGGCACACCUGUAAAGCAGUGUCUCUUCCACCCGGGUGCCCAGCCCCACUGCCAAGCCCAAGCCACAGGCUAUGUUCAGGAAGGUAGAGUCACUAUCAGUGGCCACCUUGAAAUGGGCUUCAGAAAAAGACCGCAGUGGCAUCCACUCAUUUGCUAACACUAGAUUUCUGGAUUUCCGGUUGUAACAAUCACAUUUCCAGAGUCUGUGUGGAGGAUGCAGAAUACCUUGUCUUGGUUUCCUGUGUCUGUCACCAUUAUUUGGAACAUUGCUUUCAUAAGUAGAGUGACCAGAAACAAAGGUCCUGGAAGAGGGGAGGUAGCAGCUGUGUAAACUCUUAAAUAUCCUUUCUGAGGUGUCUCAGAACAACAUGGUCCUCUAAGAACAAUGUCUGUAAAUAAUUAACAGUAAUUCCACUGUUAGUAUCUCUUAUGUGUGUGUUCAAUAUAAAAGCGAUUCAUAAACUGUGGUAUCUCAAAAACAAAUGCUUUCAAAAUUCUGGUGCUCAGGGUCAAAAAAACCAUUUCACUACACAAAGUAUGGAUAAAAAUGCAUAAGUUGCAUGAAAGUUGGGAAAUCUUAAAAAAUCAAUAAAUAGAAAUUGAGUAUAUG